This is a long non-coding RNA of Schistocerca gregaria, 1365 nucleotides long. RefSeq lists it as uncharacterized. The record is from RefSeq and is a predicted model, not a curated record. Lineage: Eukaryota; Metazoa; Arthropoda; Insecta; Orthoptera; Acrididae. The transcript has 3 exons.
UCGUUUGCAACCCUAGCAGAAGAGCAGGAGCAGCAGCACUGCAGCAGGCAGUAGCAUAUGGUGACUGUGGAAUGUUGUUGGGCUGUGAGGUGCUGGGUGUGUUGUUUUACUUUACGUUUCUUUCGCCACCCCGUAGUAUUUGCUUUGCGUCAGACCAUGGAAAGUAAGUGCCGUGUACCAGGCUGUACUGGCUGCUACCAAAUUGCCAAAAAGAUAUGUCUUAAAAUUUGCAAAAGACGCCGGACUGAGGAUGAAAUAAACUCUUGCUAUUCCACUCGAGAACUUUCCACUAGAACAUUCUGAGACAGAUUUAUCAAGAAAAGUGAAUUCUGAACGAUUUCGUUCUCCAAAGCACUGCAGUUACGUGGAACGGAGUAACAGUUCCUUUGGAAAAACCUGGAUUGAAAGAAGGUGCCUUGUUGUAUUAGUUACCAAACUGUACCAGUUAUUUGAAUUUUUAGACAAGAUGUGCAACGGGUACCCCAAAUCAAAGAAAACAGGAGAUUGAAGGUGAUGGUUAUGGGUUGAGAAUGACCAUAUCGGAAAGCAUAGAAACAGCUUCUGCAAAAAAGGUGAAAAAUUCGGUUUUCACGGUUAUGGUGAAUUUGCGAGAGAAACUGAAAAUGUUACAGGAAGUGAAGUGAAGUGAGAAAAUAAUAUGUACCGAACGUGUACCUGAAUUUUGAGACAGCUCCACCUGAUAUUAGAUUCAUAACAGUUUGCCCGAGCCUCAGUGUUAAACUGUGUAUUCCCUAGGGACUUAGUAGUGUAAUUAAAGUUCAAAGUGUUUUGAAGUUAUGUAGAGAUUUAAUUAGUGACAGAGAAAUGACUUGCACAAGCCAUUCCUUCCUUCUUGAAAUUUUAGCAGUUACAGAAGCCCCUGAGCCAUGCUCCGCGUCAGCGCCCUGCUGCUACCAUGACCAGGGUGUCAGACAGCUGGAGGAGGUAGCCAGCCGCCGCUAGCGCAGGUCACAGCAGUUCUGCGCUCGCACCGCGCCACCUCCUCGCGCCAGCUCAUAUCCUGGCCCUGGCAGAAACAGCCAAGCGUCUGUCCCCUCAACGACAGGGUAGCAUUCAUCGUCAGCGCCAACGUGACGUAGGCACACGUCGUCAUGAGUUUCACGAGUUGUCCAAUCGACUGUUGUGUGCAUUCUGUAUACAUCGAUUGUUGUGUGCGCCUUGAAUCUGCACUGUUCAUUGUUCUCAGUUGAUUUUACAUGGAGGCAAAAUUAAAUGGAACUAGAUGGUUUAAUAUAUCCAGCAACAUUCGGAAUUACUUCGAACUUCAGUUUCUCAGUUUAACGUUUCUGCUCACAUGAAUUAUGUAUAAUUCAUUGGCUUUUAUAAAAAUACGAAAAACUUUAA